AUCCAGCUGACUAGUCUCAAAUAUGACGAAACGCAUGUCCUGGAU
Molecule: non-coding RNA, 45 nt
Filed under: Schistosoma curassoni
Lineage: Eukaryota; Metazoa; Platyhelminthes; Trematoda; Strigeidida; Schistosomatidae
Source: RNAcentral